UAACAAGGUUUCCGUAGGUGAACCUGCGGAAGGAUCAUUACCAAUUCAACGGUGUGGUCGCGGCCUCCGGGGGCUCCCCCCGGGCGGUAGAGGUAACACUCUUACGCGCCACAUGUCUGAAUCCUUUUUUUACGAGCACCUUUCGUUCUCCUUCGGUGGGGCAACCUGCCGUUGGAACUUAUCAAAACCUUUUUUUGCAUCUAGCAUUACCUGUUCAGAUACAAACAAUCGUUACAACUUUCAACAAUGGAUCUCUUGGCUCUGGCAUCGAUGAAGAACGCAGCGAAAUGCGAUAAGUAGUGUGAAUUGCAGAAUUCAGUGAAUCAUCGAAUCUUUGAACGCACAUUGCGCCCCUUGGUAUUCCAUGGGGCAUGCCUGUUCGAGCGUCAUCUACACCCUCAAGCUCUGCUUGGUGUUGGGCGUCUGUCCCGCCUCUGCGCGUGGACUCGCCCCAAAUUCAUUGGCAGCGGUCUUUGCCUCCUCUCGCGCAGCACAUUGCGCUUCAGAGGGGUGUGGGCCGCGUCCACGAAGCAACAUUAUCGUCUUUGACCUCGGAUCAGGUAGGGAUACCCGCUGAACUUAAGCAUAUCAAUAA
This 595-nucleotide unclassified non-coding RNA is filed under the name Paraconiothyrium cyclothyrioides. RNAcentral's name for it is "sequence contains ITS1, 5.8S rRNA gene and ITS2". The stretch from base 236 to 389 matches the Rfam family "5.8S ribosomal RNA". The record is from RNAcentral. Lineage: Eukaryota; Fungi; Ascomycota; Dothideomycetes; Pleosporales; Didymosphaeriaceae.